Molecule: ribosomal RNA, 328 nt
Filed under: uncultured eukaryote
Lineage: Eukaryota
Description: partial 18S ribosomal RNA
Rfam family: Eukaryotic small subunit ribosomal RNA
Source: RNAcentral
CCCUUAGAUGUCCUGGGCCGCACGCGCGUUACACUGAUGCAUUCAACGAGCUUAUAACCUUGGCCGAGAGGCCUGGGCAAUCUUGUUAACGUGCAUCGUGAUAGGGAUAGAUUAUUGAAAUUAUUAAUCUUGAACGAGGAAUUCCUAGUAAACGCAGAUCAUCAAUCUGCAUUGAUUACGUCCCUGCCCUUUGUACACACCGCCCGUCGCGCCUACCGAUUGGAUGGUCCGGUGAAGCCUCGGGAUUGUGGUUCUUGCCGCUUUGUUGUGGCGUGACCGCGAGAACUUGUCUAAACCUUAUCAUCUAGAGGAAGGUGAAGUCGUAACA